UUUGUAUCAUGCAACUUUAAUGAAUUCAUUUAUGAGUUUUAACAGUUAUUCCACACAGUAGGUCUUGGUAUGCCUUUGUUUUUUAUCAGCUGUUAGAGAUGGUAAUGUAUAAACAAAGACAAUUUUCUUUCAUAUUGUUGAAUACAUAGAUAAUUCUUAAUAUUAACAACUAAACUUGUCAUUUCUAUUUUUUGAAGGAGAAAAACUUAAUGCGAAAAAUCUGAGAAAUAUUCUUGAAGGCCUUGGAAUAGAAUUCACACCUAAAGAAUACUUGGAACUGGUACAAAAUCUGCAAAUUGAUGAUGAUGGAACUAUAUCUGAAAAUAGAUUGCUAGAUGGUGUGAAAUCAUUCAAAGGUGGAAAGGUUGAUGUUAGUAACCUGGAAAACAUUUUGGAAAACAUGAAAAUCAUGGUUCCAGAUAAGGAACUUAAAGAUUUGUCACAAAACCUACCAGUUGAUGCUUCCGGGAUGACUGAUCUGCAUAAACUACUAAAAGAAGUAAAUAAAUUCACAGGAGGAAAAAUUCAAGCCAAGGACAUAAAAAAAGUACUGGGAGACAUGGGGAUAGAGCUCACAAAUAGGGAGCUCUGGAACCUGAUGAAAAUCUUGCCAAUUACUGGUAGGUAUUUUAUGCACUACUAUGAUAUUUAUCUUUGUGCUAUUGGGGACUUCAAUGUGAGAAUAUCAUAAAAAUAGGCCCCUCUGAUUUCCUAUAAAAAGACAAAAAGAGGCUGGGCAUGGUGGUUCACACCUGUAAUCCCAGCACUUUG
Sapajus apella (tufted capuchin) is the source of this 771-nucleotide long non-coding RNA. RefSeq lists it as uncharacterized. NCBI's taxonomy places the organism in Eukaryota, Metazoa, Chordata, Mammalia, Primates, Cebidae. The transcript is spliced from 5 exons. The record is from RefSeq and is a predicted model, not a curated record.